This 329-nucleotide long non-coding RNA is filed under the name Bos taurus (domestic cattle). Its description in RNAcentral is "long non-coding RNA NONBTAT018636". The record is from RNAcentral. Lineage: Eukaryota; Metazoa; Chordata; Mammalia; Artiodactyla; Bovidae.
CUUAAACCUUUAAAGAAUUCCUGAUUAACUGAAGAACUGAGAAAGAUCUUGUUAGCAUGUCACACAAGGCCCUUUAUUUGCUGGCUCCCACUGCCUAGAGACCCAGUGUAGGAAAGCAACUAAGGUAGCUGAGAGCCUCUCAGUAGGCAUGGUUACAAGUACUGCCCAGUCAGAGGCUUUGCACAGAGGUCUAACAUGGUGGUCCUUAGAGACUCCAGGAUAUCUAGUCUUUUGAGACCUUUGAGAAGGCAAAGAGUCAGCAGGAUCAGCAAAAGCUGUACUUGCUUAGCCUAACAUAUUCCUUGAGUUGACAGAAUUGACUAAAUGUU